CUCCUCUCCUGUCAGGGUUUUAAGUAGCACUUUCCCAAAUUAUUUUAGCAAAUUAGCAGUUUGGAAUCUCACACUCCACUUCAGCAGUCCAUGCCAACCUCAUCCUGCUCAGAGGCGGGCUUUUGGAUGCAGAUAGCGCAAUGUGUCUUCCUGCUGAAGUCUGGCCAGUGUGUUUCGGUUAAUUGAAGAGAGGCUGUAUGGUCCAGUUAACUGAGGACAGGCCUCCGCAAUGGAGCUACCAGGCACAAAGAAGUCGGAGUACCCACGAUGCAAGAAAAAGGAGAAGCUAAGAAGAGAUAAAGAUGCUGUUUAGUCUUUCCAAAGCAUUACAAUGCAAGCAGAUACCUACUGGCCUGCUACUCCCAGCUUGAUGAACCUCCAGACACGAGGAACAGAGCCAUCUGAAUUGUUUGCAGCAAUCUGGCCAGCCCCAUUGCAAAACAUCCUGAUGAUACCCACCCAGGUUCCCAUCUGAAAGACCUGAAGUAUAAAAGGACCAGUGUUUCUGCAUUGAAACGAGCCAACGUGACAUUCACAAGGGGCAAGCCAGAGUCAGAAGCAAGCAUCAGAAUCAAGUGUGUUGGUGUGAGGCAAGGAUGAGCUUGGAGGUAAACUCACUGCAUGGCUAAUAAUCCUCAGAUCCUUUGGAUAAAAUUUGUCAGCGAACAGAUGGGAACAUGUUCCUGCAUGGUGUGUAUGACUGCUUCUCCAUCUCUAAGAAGUUACCCUACAGGGCUAGGCUCUGAACGCCCAGAUCACCUUUCAGAGAACAACAGAGCUUAUUAGCAUGUCAAUGGGAUGAAAGUGUUUGUGAUUGCAUUGACUUAUUUAUCCUAUUCACUGAGGUUCCCACUGCCCUUUACCGAAGGGUGGUUUUUCUCAGCGAUCUCUGUUUUAGGACUAAGUGGGUUACCACACCUCACAACUGAAUUUCUCCUUUGAAAACAUUUUCUUCAGACUGGGAGAGGGGCUGAGGAGCCGGGUCAGUGGGUAAGAGCACCCAAGUUUGGCUCCUGGCACACAAGCAGCUGUAACUCCAGUUCCAGAGGACCUGACACCCUCCUCCAGCCUGUGUGAGCACCUGACACACAUACAACAUUAAAAACAAAAUAAAUCCUAAAAGUUUUUUUCUUGGGCUGGCAAGAUGUUCAGUGGGUGAAGGCACUCACCAUCGAAGCAAGACAGCUUGAGUUUGGUGAUCACUCACUGGAAGGACACAAGUGGAAGGACAAUCUCCAGCACUCAUCAGGGGUCCUCUGAUCGACACAGGCUUGUCAUGGCGUGUGUGCUGGUGCACACCACCACCACACACACACACACACACACACACACACACACACACACACAUCAAAAGAAAUAACUAAUUAAUUUUUAAAUGUUUUCUUUAUUUUGAAAUAAAUUUCUGUCUUUGGUGGUUUAAAGACA
This is a long non-coding RNA of Mus musculus (house mouse), 1425 nucleotides long. RefSeq annotates it as predicted gene, 34802. NCBI's taxonomy places the organism in Eukaryota, Metazoa, Chordata, Mammalia, Rodentia, Muridae. The record is from RefSeq and is a predicted model, not a curated record. The transcript has 3 exons.